This 72-nucleotide transfer RNA is filed under the name Paragonimus skrjabini miyazakii. RNAcentral describes it as "Paragonimus miyazakii tRNA". It matches the Rfam family "tRNA". Rfam says of the family: Transfer RNA (tRNA) molecules are approximately 80 nucleotides in length. Their secondary structure includes four short double-helical elements and three loops (D, anti-codon, and T loops). Lineage: Eukaryota; Metazoa; Platyhelminthes; Trematoda; Plagiorchiida; Troglotrematidae. The record is from Rfam by way of RNAcentral.
GGCCCCAUGGUGUAGUGGUUAUCACUCUGGACUCUGAAUUCAGUGACCCGAGUUCGAGUCUCGGUGACGCCU